GUCUUUGAGCUCCUUUCUGUUCAACUGGUGGCAGUUUACGGAUUCGCAGAAGACAGUUCACAGAACUAUCAGUACUUUACCUUCUGCUUUUACAGAGGUAUAUUUAGUUGUUUUGGGGGGGAGGG
RNAcentral lists this small nucleolar RNA (125 nucleotides) under Castor canadensis (American beaver). Its description in RNAcentral is "Small nucleolar RNA SNORA75 (ENSCCNG00000000650.1)". The record is from RNAcentral. Lineage: Eukaryota; Metazoa; Chordata; Mammalia; Rodentia; Castoridae.